GGUUGCCCCUUUCACGUUACGUCGCAUAACACUUCCUUCUGUCCUGCUGGACUGAGAACUCCUUAAGCUCAGGAACUCUCUCACCAACGUCUGUGCCUCUUCCCAGCACUGGGCCUGGACCAUAGUAAAUGCUCAGUGGAUGGGAGAUUAUCAGUGGUAUGUGACUAAAUUAUUCUGCUCAAGAGAAAGAAAAAGCUUCUCUCAAACAUUUUAGAAUCGAGCAUUUGUAAUAAAAAAUCACCCCAGCAUUUGUCGUUACUACCCAGAGACCUUGGUGAGGGAUAUAUAUGGGUAAUUUCACUUAAUCCUCAAAACAGGAGACCAAGUGCUCACACUUGCCCGUUUCUUAACUGCUGCUUUGUCUUGACAAAACUCAAGUGGGGCUUCUCUCGUCCCCACAGGCCCCUGAACUCUGCCUGCCUUGGGCCUGGGCAGGCUCUAAGGCCUCCCUUUAUCAGCGUAUCCUGGGAAUGGCUGACCACAGCGAGACACGCUUCCCGCCAGACCCCGGCCAUCACGCUCCCUGCUUGCCCAACUCCCAUGGCUGCUGAGAUCUCCUUACCCCUCCCCAUAAAAGAAAAGCCUUUUCUGUUUGGUUCUGAGCUACCUGCAGAUUCCUGAGAUUGGAGACUCUCCUGUUCGCGAUGGUCUUUUCGAAUAAAGUUUCUCCUUAUCGAAGUCCAGGUUUGUUUUUAUUUGACACAACUCUAUGAUUUAGAAACGAUGCUCAGAACAUUUCACAUAAGAGUAAACUGAGGCUUAGAAAAAAUAAAUAACUUUCCCAGGGCCCCAUAAGGGGCCCCAUAAACAGCCAAUGGGAAGUCCAGGAUCCAAACUCAUCUGAGGGUGAGAGGUCACACUCAGCCGCUGUGCUACACACACCUCACGCCUGCUUUCACCAGCAUCGGGGAAGACCUGCUUCACUACGCUCAAAGUUCAUCUACAGACCCGAAAGCACUAAAAUUCUAUGUCGUGUCAAUUUAUACUGUUUAUUAGUCCAUGCCAACCUGAAAACUAUCAAUUAAAAUAUUAUAAUGAAAAUUAGUAUUAUUAUUGUGUGUGUGCAAGGAAGAUUGGCCCUGAGCGAACACCUGUGCCAUCUUCCUCUAUUUUAUGUAUUACGCUUCGACGAGCGAUGAGGUCUGUGCCCAGGAUCCAAACCUGUGAACCUAGGGCUGCUGAAGUGGAGCACAUGAACUUAACAGCUAUGCCACUGGGCCCACCCCAAAGUUAGUAUUUUUAUAUCAUCUUGCAAAGCGCCAACAUAAAGACGACCAUACAGUCUCCCCAGGUGCUCACACCUAUGCUUAUUAUUUCUACAUAAUGAUUUGAUAUUAAAUAAAUCAUUGUGUGGAGGAAGCCAGAAUGCAGACGCAGAUUUCUAUAAUCCUCAGGGUUAAAAAAAGAAGAAAAGAAAAGGCAGUUUUCUAAGCUCCCGCCUCUCCUGCGGGAGCCACGGGCUUCCCUGUCACCUGUGCCUGCCCCCGUGGAGAGCUGACACUCGCGGAGCACGCACUCUGAUGUGGCCAUCAGUCUCCACAUGCGUCAAACCCCUGUAACAGUCACAACCCUCAAGGGUGCUUGUGCUAUUAUUAUGACCCUUACUGGAGAAGUGAGGGAACUGAGGCAGGAAGAGGUUGAGCAAGAAGCCCAAGGUCACAGAGAGAGCUGGUGGCAGAGCUGGCAUGAAACCCAGGACACCUGUCCAGAGCCUGGACUUCCCUCCUCUCCCCCCCGCCCCGCCAGGCUCCUGCCAUGUCACCCCGCGUGUCAACACAAAGACUGUCCCACUGCAGCUCUGCUGCCUUCCAGGCAAAGGUUCAGCUCAUUCUCAAGAAAGCUCCAUGGGCCGAGUUCAGUGAAAAUGAGCAGCAGGCACUGCAAACAUUGGGCCAAAGAGGGAAAACCACUGGGAGUUGCUGGCGAUGGUGUGCGGCUACGAAUGCCGGAUCUAGGCUACUUUCAAGCACGUGUCUUCACUUUCCUGGCUUCUUCGGGAAUGUUUGGGGCUCACUGUUUCAGUGUGCAGCACUUCCUGGAGCAGAGAAAGACGCAGAACUGGAGGCUGACUUAGUAACUGUGUGGUGCUGGAAAAGCUUCUCAUUCUCCAGGCCUCAGGUUCCUCGCCUGUAAAUGACAGUGAUGAGUCAGGCUGGUGCUCAGUUCUCCCUGGUGCUAUCAUGCUCUAACUGGGAUUGGCAGAGGUAGCCUGGGUUAUUAAAAUCUGCGUCCACAGAGCUUAGCUCCUUUGGAGAGCUUUUAAAAAUCCGCGUGUUGGGCCCCACCUCCAGAUACUGAUUUAAUUAAAGGAGACGGGGCUCAGGCACCAGUGCUUCUUGUUUUUAACUCAGGUGAUUCUGCUAAGGAGGCAGCUCUGAGAACCAUGGCUCUGGAGAGUUCUCAAACUUGUGUAUUCAUCAAAAAUACCUGGAGGGCUUUUUCCCACCCCAAACUUUCUUAUUCAGUAGGCUUGGGUGUGGGGCAUUUCUGGUAAGUUCCCAGGAAAUCCUGAUGCUGCUGGCUCAGAAUCCACACUUGGAGAACGCCACAGGUUUUCACCCCCUUUGAAAUGCAGCAGAUCUCGCUGGCAAAGGAUUUAUAGGUGAGUGCAAAGAAGGACACAAAAAUAUCGGUAUUCGGCAUGUCUGCUUGCCUGCGCCGGUGCCCCAGCCCUUCCCCAGCCUCGUCUGCUGGACACCACACCGGCACAAAGCCGUCUGCUGCCCACUGACGGUGACUUGGGCCCAGCCUGUCGCUCGGCAGAAAAUUCCUCUAGGUUUGGCCAUCUUUCUAACAAAACCAAUUUUUCUCUAUCUCCCCAUCGAGGAACAUCUUCCAAAAGCCUCAUUAAUUCAAGACAGGGAAGUGCAAGAAAAGUCAACCAAAGUCGGUGCCAUCCGAAGGAAGGUCACAGCGUGAAAGACAACAUUCUCACAAUCAUGGUCGUUCAUCCAGCAGACGUUUUGAAAAUAUUUUUGAACAGUGUACCAGGCAGGCAUCGUUCAGGGUGCUAGAUACAGAACCAGCAGAAGUCCCAGCUGGCGGAGUGCGGCAGGCUGACAAAGAAGGAGCUCACUGUUGGAUGGUGGUACCCAGGUAGAGAAAAGACGGCCCAGGAGGAACAGAGGGGACGAUCCCCAAAAGAAGGAAAGGAACAUUUAUCCACCACUUGUGAAAAACUGGGUCUUCUACACAGCUCACUUCUCCGAAUCCUCAGCACUCUCUUGUUGUGCCCUCUUUCUUACCAUAAUAGCCAAUUUUACACGUGAAGAAACUGAAGUUCCCAAACUUUAAGAGAUUGGCUGUGGCUGGGGUGUUAAUUAAUAGGUGGACAGUGCUGAACUUCUUGACUGGUUGUAGGAACGAAGCCCGGGGCAGAUUUGUAAAGGAGACUGCCCACAUGCCCUUUGUAACGCUCACACACCCUCCUCCUGCAGGACUUGCCAUGCUGCGUGGAAUGUUCCAGACCUCACCUUUCCCCAGUAAUGUUGACCCUUCUUCUCAUUCUCUGGAGCACUCCUCACACUCUAUGCCAAUUCCAUGCAUGGAUUCUCUCUCUAGAGUGCAAGGGGUUUGUGAAUGUUAAUCUCUGCUAAUCCUGUAAAUUGAUUUUCUCCAUUUUAUAGUCCAAUUAGUCACAUCGUCAUUACCCAGGCAAGAUAUUUGAGUGGGGCCUUUUUCUGGAAACAGUCCCUAAUCCUAACGGUGGAAAUGUCAGGCACUGUGGUUGGGCAGUAUGAACAUGCCUGCUGAAAUUACGUCAUUUAGGGAUUAGAGUCAUAGUUAAAAUACCAGUUUCUUACUCUCCAGUCUAACUAUCAGACUCUCAAAAAUGAUCUAAGAAAAAGGGUGUGUGUUUG
RNAcentral lists this long non-coding RNA (3860 nucleotides) under Equus caballus (horse). RNAcentral describes it as "lncRNA (ENSECAG00000054607.1)". Lineage: Eukaryota; Metazoa; Chordata; Mammalia; Perissodactyla; Equidae. The record is from RNAcentral.